Molecule: ribosomal RNA, 451 nt
Filed under: uncultured bacterium
Lineage: Bacteria
Description: partial 16S ribosomal RNA
Rfam family: Bacterial small subunit ribosomal RNA
Source: RNAcentral
GGCCAGACUCCUACGGGAGGCAGCAGUGGGGAAUAUUGCACAAUGGGCGAAAGCCUGAUGCAGCAACGCCGCGUGAAGGAAGAAGGGUUUCGGCUCGUAAACUUCUAUCAACAGGGACGAAAGAAAUGACGGUACCUGAAUAAGAAGCCCCGGCUAAAUACGUGCCAGCAGCCGCGGUAAUACGUAUGGUGCAAGCGUUAUCCGGAUUUACUGGGCGUAAAGGGAGCGCAGGCGGCGCGCCAAGUCUGAUGUGAAACCCCGGGGCUCAACCCCGGGCAUGCAUUGGAAACUGGCGGGCUGGAGUGCAGGAGGGGCAGGCGGAAUUCCUGGUGUAGCGGUGAAAUGCGUAGAUAUCAGGAGGAACACCGGUGGCGAAGGCGGCCUGCUGGACUGCAACUGACGUUGAGGCCCGAAAGCGUGGGGAGCAAACAGGAUUAGAUACCCGAGUACA